RNAcentral lists this long non-coding RNA (281 nucleotides) under Apteryx rowi (Okarito brown kiwi). RNAcentral's name for it is "lncRNA (ENSARWG00000010443.1)". Lineage: Eukaryota; Metazoa; Chordata; Aves; Apterygiformes; Apterygidae. The record is from RNAcentral.
GUUGGUGGUGUAGGUGACUGAAAACUCUAUAGCCUCAUUUUCUUUUAAAGUACCCAGAUUGUCUAAAGAUAAAUUACGCUGUUUGUACAAACAUGACGGUCUCAAGAGAGCUAAGCUAAUGUUGCCAGAGACCCUGUGACGUUCUGAAGCAACUUAAAGAGCUGCAGCCAGCACUUGUUGGAGCCAACUCAGACUGCGCAAGACUGUAUAUUCACUGCUGCCAGUGCACCUCCAUUCUGCCGUGUACUAUCAAAGGCUUGCAGGAAAUAUUUGUAAGGCAU